Molecule: long non-coding RNA, 2858 nt
Organism: Marmota monax (woodchuck)
Lineage: Eukaryota; Metazoa; Chordata; Mammalia; Rodentia; Sciuridae
Exons: 3
Source: RefSeq, a predicted model, not a curated record
AGGGAAGGGAAGGGGAGGGGAGGGGCGAGAAGCGCGCGUAGGCACCCCGGAGGCAAGGCCCAUGCAGCCCGCCGCCGAGGGCGCCUCUUUGGGGCCUCUAGAGAGCAAGGAGACUGGCGCCGUGGCGCCUCCUCGCGCUGGUCCCUCUACGUCUCGGGUCCCGAAGUGGAAUCACGGAGAUGAAGCCGUGGGAGCAUCUGGAUCCGGAGCCCGAGGCCGCAGAGCACUGAAGGCUGCCAUCGCCUAGCAAGACAUGCUGGACCCUGGACGCGGCACUGGUCUGGGCCCAGAGGCCCUGGCCCCGGGAGUCUGCGUGACGCUUAGCUUGGAAGCUGCGCGCGUGAGGAAGGGAGAGCCGGCCCUCUGUCUCUCUGGGCGUAGAAGCGGCUGGUCAAAUUAGCCGAAUGCAAAAGAAAGGGUAAAACCUCCCUGAAACCGCACAAAGCAGUAAGGACUUCAGAUUCUCAAACUCCACUCACCCAAGCUUUCACGACUGUCGUACCCGAACCCCUUUCGAUGCUGUGGAAUCGUACAGCGGGAAGAGUUCUUGUAAAUGGAUUAAGCCAAUCCUUCGAUUUAACUGAGACGGCCCAGAGAACUUCACACAACCACUAUUUUGGUCCGCAAAAAUUCUGAAGUUGGCUUGAAGGAGCUCCAGGAUAGAAGGAAGACAGACAAACUAAACCUCAGUUCCUUCAAUUUGGGCUUGGAGGGUGCUGAAGAUCGAAACCAGGGCCUUGCAUAUGCUAGGCGAGCGCUCUACCGCUGAGCCACAACUCCAGGUCCUGAAUUUUUUAAUCCUAAAGUAAUUAACCUUUAUAUUAAAGUUAAAAAAUACAGAAAUGAAAAAAAAAUGUCAUGUGGUUCCACCACAUAAUGACAGCUUUUAGUAGUUUAGGGACUUUUCUUCUUGUCUUCAUUAUUUGUCAAUGCUAAUUUAAAAAGAGUUGAAAAUAAUUGGGUCUUGUGCCUCUUGAAAUUUAUUUUCCCCCAAUGAAGAAUAUAGAGAAUAAUAAUAAAAAACAUGCAUGUUUCAUUUUUUUUUGAAGGGGGAUUACAGGGGAAUUAAACCAAGGGUACAUUACUUUGAUGGUGCUACAUCUCCAGUUCUUUUUUCAAGUUUUACUUUGAGACAGGAUCUCACUAAAUUGCUGAGGUUGGUCUUGAACUUUACAUCCUCCUGCCUUAGCCUCCCAAAUUGCUGGGAUUACAUGCAUGUACCACCUUAACCAGUUUAUAUAUUUCAUUUCUAAUUUCAUCAAAAGGUGGUAAUCACCAAGAAUUUUUUAAGCUUCUUUUCCUUUUUAUGUAUGCAUUAAUACACAUAAGUAAUAUAUACAUAUAUAUAUUAAGAACUUAAAUUGACAUCAUGCUCUAAAUAUAAUUUUAUAACCUAAUUAUUUUAGGAAAAAAAUGCAAACACAAAAGAAAGUAGAAAGAAUAGUAAAUUAAUCCCUUUGAAGCUUCACUCAGCUUCAACAAUUAUUCAAACAUACCCCCAAAUUAAUUUGAAGUAAACACCAAAUCAUUUUUACCCACAGAUAUUUGUGUAUUUAUAGCUAAAAUAUAAGGGCACUUACUUCUAAAAUAUAUAUUGACAAUACCAUUAUCACAUUUAUAAUUUUUAUAAAAAUGCUUUAUGAUAAAGUAGUCAAAUUCCCCUCAAUUGUCUCAUGAAUAUUUUUAUUAUUUUAUCACAGCUGAUUUGUUCAAAUUAGGAUCUAAAUAAAGUUCACACACAUUGCAUUUUUUUAUUUUUGGUACUGAGGAUUAAACUCAGGGGCACUCAACCACUGAGCCAUAUACCCAGCCCUUUUUUGUGUUUUUUUUUAGAGAUGGUGUCUCACCGAGUUGCUUAGCACCUCGAUAAGUUGCUGAGGCUGGCUUUGAACUUAUGAUCCUCCUGUCUCAGCCUCCCAAACCACUGGGAUUACAGGGCCUUGCUAAGUUGCUGAGGUUGGCCUCAAGCUCAUGAUCUUCCUGCCUCAGCCUCCUGAGUCAGUGGGCUUACAAUUGUGCGCCACUAAACUCCCGUGGCCUUAUUUUGUUCAUAACACUUAACACUACGUGACAUUGUAUUGUAUAUCUGUUUGUAAAUGUAUUUGCCAAUGUCCUCCUCUGUAGCAACUAUGAUGAAGUCCCAGUGCGGGGCUUUGCUUUUUAUUCACUGAUGUACCCCUAAUAAGUAGAACAGGGGCUGGCACAUAGAAAACUCUCAAUAAAACAAAUGAGUGAGCUACAGUAAAUGAGAUGAAAAGAAAAAAAACAUCAUGAGAGGGUUGAGUUAAAGUCACUUAAAAUUCCUCGAACAUUCCUAUCAUUUCAGCAAAAGGGGAAAAAAAAAAACAAAAACAAAAACUGCUUAAGGCUCCCACGGUGAUCUAUCUCCUCAGGAGAAACCGAAUUUAGGGAAGUUUGCCACUGGUAAAGCAAGAACUUGAGAUACUUUCCUGGACGAUUCUGGUAAGAAUGCUGUACUCUCCUGAGUUACUUCGUUAAUAAGAGAAAUCCCCAAUUCCAGAUUUGAAGGCUUCUUUGUUCACUUCAGCUCCUCCAAGAACUUGGAAAGAAAUGCUGAAGGAUGGCUGAAGACUCCAGGCUCCCCAAGUAUUUGUCUCCUCCAGCAUCAGCAACCAGAUGAAUUUCACAGUGAGGAUGACAAUUCAGAAGCAAGAGUCACACGCCAGACGAAAAAGGGGCACCAAGGGGCAUCUCUGUUCAUCCCUCUCUACUACCCAGCAUUCGGCUGAGGCCUGCAGACAACGACGCACACUAUGGGGCGAGUGGCGUUUUCACCGUUUCCCUCCCAGGCGGCCACUCCCCGACCUCUCCCCUCCUCCCACCCGCCCCUCCCAAGC